UACAGAGGGGGCAAGCGUUGUUCGGAAUUACUGGGCGUAAAGGGCGCGUAGGCGGCCUUCUAAGUCGAACGUGAAAUCCCCGGGCUCAACCCGGGAACUGCGUCCGAUACUGGAAGGCUUGAAUCCGGGAGAGGGAUGUGGAAUUCCAGGUGUAGCGGUGAAAUGCGUAGAUAUCUGGAGGAACACCGGUGGCGAAGGCGGGUCUCUGGGCAGUAACUGACGCUGAGGAGCGAAAGCGUGGGGAGCGAACAGG
RNAcentral lists this ribosomal RNA (253 nucleotides) under uncultured bacterium. Its description in RNAcentral is "partial 16S ribosomal RNA". It matches the Rfam family "Bacterial small subunit ribosomal RNA", at positions 524 to 776 of the family's 1533-position model. The record is from RNAcentral.